Molecule: long non-coding RNA, 528 nt
Organism: Pieris napi
Lineage: Eukaryota; Metazoa; Arthropoda; Insecta; Lepidoptera; Pieridae
Exons: 3
Source: RefSeq, a predicted model, not a curated record
UAUAAUUAUGGCUUCCAAAAUGUCAAAUAAAAAUAAACUAAUCAUGUGUUUUGGAACUUGGAGAUGACAAACUCGAGCGCCGUUUUAGUGGCACUCGCAUUAAUUGUUAGCGAAUUAAAUUUAUUACACAAUGUAAACCUUUUAUUAGAGGACUUCUUUCCGUCAAACAUAGUUUUUCUUCUCAGUAUCUGUAUCCUCCUGGAAGAGCUGCGAGUAAUCUCAGUGCUACGUUUGUACUCACCUAUAAGCUUUAUAUUUGAGAUUCUUCUCUCGCUGUUUCUUUUAGAAUGUUCACUGCUAUACAUCUGGCGGCCUCUACAAUUAUAUCUACUCAUCAACGCUGAUGAUAUCCUAGUACAAUUAUAUGAGAACGAGACAUUUAACUGGCUAGUUUGUCCCCUGUGUUGUGGCACCCAUAACCCUGCGCCGGACUUUGCACGCCUGGUACUAAAGAUUUGUAGUUUUAGCUUUUUACUGUCUGUUAUUUUUGCGACUAAAUUAAAUAAGUAGUUUUAAGUAUAAAAUUUA